CUCUGUCCAGUCCCUCCUUCUUCGGGACACCAGUCCCUGGAUUAAGAGCCACUCUAAUGGCUUCAUCUUUAACUUGCUUCCCUCUUUGAAGACCGUUUCCAAAUCACAUCCCAUUCACGGGAGCUGGAGCCCAGGACUCAGACGUGCUUUCCUGGGGGACAUAGUCCCCGAGCAGCUGGCUCAGCUUGUGCUUUGCUGGGGGACACAGUCCCUGAGCAGCCAGCUCAGCUCUGCAGGGGGUCAGGGGCUUGCACAGAGCUGCUUCGUCCUGCGGGUUCUUGGUGCGGUGAAGGAUCCAUCCUGGGGAUGUGCCAUGCCACUUCUGGCACUUACUCCGGAUGAAACCACAAAGUCUAAAUAAUACAUUAGCACGCGAAGAUCACUGAGCCUCUUCCACCCUCUGCGCCGACCCCGGUUUCCAUCUAAAUCGAUAUCUGCGCUGCCUCGAUGGGGCCCAGCAUGGGCUGUGCUUGGCAUACAGAGCAGCUGCACCUGAGCAGCAGCCGAGGGGUCUUAGGGAAGCUGCUGCCCCUUCCAAACACGACUGCCUUUGAAGCCCCUAUUAAUUGUCAAUAACAACUGCUCCCUCCAUUACAAAAGGAAUUGAAAGCGAAAAUAAGACCCGGACAAUAGAACAUAAACGGAAGAGCAAAUCCCACUCCGGAUUGGAAUUGUCUGCUGGGCUCAUUAAUCCCUGGCCUGGCGCUGGGAGCGUGGGCGCCGCUUUUCUUAGGGUUUGCUUUCUGAUCUUGUGUCAAUUACUGCACAAAGCCUUCACACCACACAGCGAAUCCUUUCUACUCAAAGGUCAAGUCCUUCACAGAACAGGGCUGCACGUGUCUUUGUCCAGCGCACGUUUGCCUGCUUUCCUCGGGACACCUGUCACUGCAAAGCCCAGCUGCCUGCUUACCCAUCUAAGAAGAAAGGCUCAUUCUGACAGUCACAAACCACCCACCGCCCACAAUCAAGCAG
Piliocolobus tephrosceles (Ugandan red Colobus) is the source of this 972-nucleotide long non-coding RNA. RefSeq lists it as uncharacterized. The record is from RefSeq and is a predicted model, not a curated record. NCBI's taxonomy places the organism in Eukaryota, Metazoa, Chordata, Mammalia, Primates, Cercopithecidae. The transcript has 3 exons.